CGGGUGGUAAUGCCGGAUGCUCCAGUUGAUCGCAUGGUCUUCUGGGAAAGCUUUCGCGGUAUGGGAUGGGGUCGCGUCCUAUCAGCUUGACGGCGGGGUAACGGCCCACCGUGGCUUCGACGGGUAGCCGGCCUGAGAGGGCGACCGGCCACAUUGGGACUGAGAUACGGCCCAGACUCCUACGGGAGGCAGCAGUGGGGAAUAUUGCACAAUGGGCGCAAGCCUGAUGCAGCGACGCCGCGUGAGGGAUGGAGGCCUUCGGGUUGUAAACCUCUUUUAUCGGGGAGCAAGCGAGAGUGAGUUUACCCGUUGAAUAAGCACCGGCUAACUACGUGCCAGCAGCCGCGGUAAUACGUAGGGUGCAAGCGUUAUCCGGAAUUAUUGGGCGUAAAGGGCUCGUAGGCGGUUCGUCGCGUCCGGUGUGAAAGUCCAUCGCUUAACGGUGGAUCCGCGCCGGGUACGGGCGGGCUUGAGUGCGGUAGGGGAGACUGGAAUUCCCGGUGUAACGGUGGAAUGUGUAGAUAUCGGAAAAGAAACACC
RNAcentral lists this ribosomal RNA (540 nucleotides) under Bifidobacterium longum subsp. suillum. RNAcentral's name for it is "bacterial SSU rRNA". It matches the Rfam family "Bacterial small subunit ribosomal RNA", at positions 157 to 710 of the family's 1533-position model. The record is from RNAcentral. Lineage: Bacteria; Bacillati; Actinomycetota; Actinomycetes; Bifidobacteriales; Bifidobacteriaceae.